GGGUCCAAUAGAGAGACAGGUACAGGCUUUACUGGACCCUUAUUUGCCCUGGGAUACAAAGUCUCUGAAUCAAACUGCCAAGUUUACAUAUUCCAAUGGAUUGAGAUCAAGUAGACGCUGAGAAGAAAGCACACGUGUCAGUUUUCCAGGAAAGCAGCACUUGAAUGCCAAUAGGGGAUACUGAUGCCAAAAGAGCUGGGUCUUCUGCAUCUUCUUAGAGGUACAAAUGGAUCAUCUGUCCUUUAUAACUGGUCCUGGCCAAGAAGGAGAAGAACGCUGUAGAGACCAACAAGUAUGUAAAAAUCCUCCAGGACCUUCAAGACCCUUCCAUAGCAGAUCUGCUACUGAUGGAUCCUCCACUCCCUUAACUCCCAACCAUGGCCCCAAUUCCCACAGCUCCUCCUCAAGGAUAUCCCUUGAGCCCUUGUCCAUCAUCCCUAAACUCCCUUCCUCUGGCCCCAGCAAGGGGGUAGAGUGGGGAGGGACCCUUGGAAUUAGGACUGGCCAUGGGGACCUGGAGCAACAGUGGCCCUCCCCCUCCGAGCCUAUGGCCCUUAGAUGAGGAUUACAAUCAGACCAUGCAAUAUUGGCCUUUCUCUUUGGCCAACUUGUACAACUGGAAGUUCCACCCCCACUUCCUUUUCAGAUAACCCCAGGGGCUGACUAAUCUCUUUGAGACUGUUUUAUUUCCACAUCAGCCUACUUGGGAUGAUAUCCAACAACUCAUGAUAGUGCCCUUCACAACUGAAGAGUGAGAGAGGAUAAAGCAGGAAGCAAGAAAGAAUGUCCCGUCAGACACGAGGGCACUAUCUAUUGACCAGACCAUCAUCAACAGCUGGUUUUCACUGACUAGACCUGACUGAGACUUUAAUAUUGCCAUAAGGUGAUAUUAAAGGUAAGCGGCAACUGAAGGUAUGUCACCAGGCACCAUUAGCAGGUCUCAAAGGUACUGCACAACGACCCACAACUUUGACCAAGUUAUGUGAGGUUAGACAGGGAUCAGAUGAGUUGUCUGCUGCCUUUCUAGAGCAUUCCACCAGUACACACUCUAUGACCCCAGCAGCAAGGAGCACAAGCUACUGUGACUAUGGCUUUUAUAGACCAGGCUAGUAGAGACAUCAGGAAAAAGCUUCAGAGACUAGAGGGACGACAUGAUAAGUCAUUGAGGAAUUUAGUGUAGGUUGCUGAGAAAGUCUACCAUAACAAGGAGACAGAGAAGGAAAAGAAUCAAAGAAAGAUAAGGGAAGAGGAUGAAAGGGAGAUGAUAAAAAACAAAAGUGACAGGAAAGGAAUUUACAGAAAAUCUUGGCUACAGUAGUUAGGGAAAGCAGACAAGAGAGACUCCUAUCAAAGAGAGACAGAAAAAACCCUUGAAAAGGACCAGUAUGCCCCAAAAUGUCAACGGUGUUAGCCUCAGGUAAAGACAGUGAUUAGGGGAGACAGGGUUUAGACCCCCUCCCUGAAUCCAGGGUAACUAUGAAAGUGGAGCUAAUUGCCCCCACCAAAGCCUUGAAACGUGGAGCCAGCAUGAAAAAUAACAUCUAUGAGGAUAGCAGGUAUGCCUUUGCCACAGCUCACGUCUACGUGGCUGUACACCAAGAGAGAGGACUGCUCAUAUCAGAGGGAAAAGAAAUAAAAAAACAAGCAGGAAAUCUUGGAUCUGAUGAAGUCAGCAAGUGUGGGUAUUAUUCAUUUCCCAGGACAUCAGAAGGGAAGAGACUCAGUGGUCCAAGGCAAUAACCAGGCAGAUCACAUGGCUCAAGACUUGGCUAUGUAGAAGCCUAUCCCGGUUAUGGGCCUGCAAGAGACACCUGCUGGGGAAUGGCACUGGUCUAAGGGAUGGCCUCACUUAAAUAUACUGAAGAAGACAGGACUCAGAUUGCUAGCCACCCUACCAACUAUUACCUAGAGAAGGAAGGACAAUGGCACACACAAGAAGGGAGAACCAUAUCUCUCAGAAAGUAAGCAAAAGACUUACUAGGCCAAAUGCAGAGAUUGACUCAUUUAGGGGAUAAAAUGCUUGUGCAAGCAGUUAAGGGAUCUAAAGUAUAUAUAAUGGACCUCAGGUUUUGGGCCAGAGAUAUAGUAGAAUAGUGUAAGGUAUGCCAGCAAGUGAAUACUUAUGUGGCCAAGAGUAAACAGGACAAAAGACCUAGGGGAGAGUGACCUGGAGUAUAUUGGGAGGUCAAUUUUACAGAAGAUAAGCCAGGAAAAUAUGGUUCCAAAUACCUUCUAGUGUUUGUGGAUACUUUCUCUGGAUGUGUUGGGGUUUUCCUCACCAAGCAGGAAACAGCUUCCAUGGUAGCCAAGGGAUAUUAGAGGAAAUUUUCAGAUUUCCCAAGAUAAUUGGACUGGACAACAGUCCUGCUUUUGUCUCUAAGGUAAGUCAGUAAUUGGCAGAGAUAUUGGGGACUAAUUGGAAGCUCCAUUGUGCAUACCAUACCCAGAGAUCAGGGCAUGUAGAGAGAAUGAAGGAACUCUUAUAGAGACCAUAACUAAAUUGUUAUUUGAGACUGGCACUGACUGGGUGGUGCUCCUUCCCCUGGCCCUGUUCUGAGUCCAGAACACCCCCUACUUUAACCUGACCGCUUUUGAGAUCCUGUAUGGGACCUCCAACUUCCUUGACUCUAGCUUCUAACCCUCCCAGAGUGACUUUUCAGGGUGACAAGUAUCUUAUGGAUUGACUGCAAGCUUUCCAGAUCAGCUACCAGGAAUUGUGGCCUAGCUUAGUGUUAAGAGACAUCAUGCUGAAAACUUGGAACAAAGUGAGAACAGCCAUUCCUGGUGUUCUUGACCACCCUUACCUCUGUUAAAGUGGAUAUAGUAACUGCAUGAGUUCAUGUAACUCAUGUCAGACUAGCACCUGCACCUGACACUAACUGAAUAGCAGCCAGACACCUGAAUAACCCCCUUCUCAAGGCCAGAGAAACCAUGAGAUGCCUAUGGUGUAUCUUCCAGUGCUGAGCCUCAGCAACCCCCACAAUCCUACCAAAGUGACUUGGCAAGUACUCUCAUCCACUGGGGAUAUAGCUUGGUCCACUACAGAGGAACACCCACCUUUUAUUUGGUGGCUAGACCUUGUCUUUGACCUCUCUAAGCUAGCAGUGGGCCUUGACUCCUGGUAUAUCCCCACCCUAGAGACAAAGGGGGGAUUAUCUGAAUGUGGGGGACAAGGGACUUGUGAAUCUAAACUGUGUCCCAGAAGUGGCCUUGGAGGAUUGGGCUGAGGGUGCAAACACUCAAAGUUGUGGAGUGUCCUGCGAGGAACCCCCCCCGCCCCAUAUAUGUAUGUCCCCGAGAUGGGACAAGCCAGCAGCAGGCCCAUCAGUGUUGAAUGGGGGUGACCACUUUUUCUGUGCUACCUGGGGCUGUGAAACAUUGGGAAACACAUACUGGAGACCAUUCUGGGAUAGUUAAAGAUUCAAUGGCCAAGGUGAGAGAAGGGCUAGCCAAGCAGAAGAGAGAAAGAGAACAGAGUCAGAACUGGUUUGAAUCUUGGUUUAACUCCUUCCCUUGGUUACCCACCCUAAUAUACACCUUAUUAGAACCUCUUAUUAUUCCCCUACUAUUGUUGACCUUUGAUCCUUACAUAUUGAACAAGCUUAUAGCCUUUAUAAAAGAGAAAAUAGGAGCAGUGUAGCUGAUGGUUCUGCCCUAACAGUAUGAGAUUCUGAGGAUAGGACCUGAAGAAUAUGAGUUAGUUACCCAAGGCCCCUGAGCAUAGCUCUAGGAUUGGAGCUUAUACAAGAAAAAAAGGGGGGAAUGAGGGACCAUAAGGGCCAGUCCCCCACUCUCAUUACAGCUUCUCCCUCCUGUCUGGGGUAAAGGCUAGGCCAAGUUCCAUUCUCCACUCACAGGAACAUUCUCCAGUGAAAAAUUCUCAGAAUGUCCUGAUAGUCACCUGACCCUCUGGAAAGUCCCAGGUAGAGUUCAAAUGCAUGUCAUACUUGCUAGCAAAUAGAUUUAAAGGUCUAUAUGCUUAGCCAAUAAGUUUGAAUGGUAACCUUGCUGAAGUAACCUAUGCCCCUAAAAAGUAUAAAAAGUGCUUGUAAUAGCCAUUUGGGGUCACCUUCUCGUCACUUGCCUCAAGGGAUUGAUUGAAGGCUGACCCUGAUGCACCAGAAAAUAAACCUCUUGCUUUUGCAUCAAUCUAUGUCUCAGUGUCUCACUCAGGGGCAUCUCAAAGUAAUUACCACUGACCAAGGGUUGGGGUUUUACUGCGUGAUCUGUGGUCAUAGCUCAGUGUGGUCACUGCUG
Molecule: long non-coding RNA, 4257 nt
Organism: Mus musculus (house mouse)
Lineage: Eukaryota; Metazoa; Chordata; Mammalia; Rodentia; Muridae
Product: predicted gene, 40640
Exons: 3
Source: RefSeq, a predicted model, not a curated record